GACGAACCGUGCAAGCGUUGUUCGGAAUCACUGGGCUUAAAGGGCGCGUAGGCGGGUUCCCAAGUCGGAGGUGAAAUCUUGCGGCCCAACCGUAAGAGGGCCUCCGAUACUGGGAGUCUCGAGGGAGGUAGGGGUCGGUGGAACUUCCGGUGGAGCGGUGAAAUGCGUAGAUAUCGGAAGGAACGCCGGUGGCGAAAGCGACCGACUGGACCUCUUCUGACGCUGAGGCGCGAAAGCCAGGGGAGCAAACGGG
RNAcentral lists this ribosomal RNA (253 nucleotides) under uncultured bacterium. Its description in RNAcentral is "partial 16S ribosomal RNA". It matches the Rfam family "Bacterial small subunit ribosomal RNA", at positions 524 to 776 of the family's 1533-position model. The record is from RNAcentral.